Molecule: unclassified non-coding RNA, 89 nt
Filed under: Pseudomonas helmanticensis
Lineage: Bacteria; Pseudomonadati; Pseudomonadota; Gammaproteobacteria; Pseudomonadales; Pseudomonadaceae
Source: RNAcentral
UGUAGGAGUGAGCCUGCUCGCGAUGGCAGUGUGUCAGUUAAAUCAAUGUUGGCUGACUUUCCGCUAUCGCGAGCAGGCUCACUCCUACA